GGGGAUAACACUUGGAAACAGGUGCUAAUACCGUAUAACACUAUUUUCCGCAUGGAAGAAAGUUGAAAGGCGCUUUUGCGUCACUGAUGGAUGGACCCGCGGUGCAUUAGCUAGUUGGUGAGGUAACGGCUCACCAAGGCCACGAUGCAUAGCCGACCUGAGAGGGUGAUCGGCCACACUGGGACUGAGACACGGCCCAGACUCCUACGGGAGGCAGCAGUAGGGAAUCUUCGGCAAUGGACGAAAGUCUGACCGAGCAACGCCGCGUGAGUGAAGAAGGUUUUCGGAUCGUAAAACUCUGUUGUUAGAGAAGAACAAGGAUGAGAGUAGAACGUUCAUCCCUUGACGGUAUCUAACCAGAAAGCCACGGCUAACUACGUGCCAGCAGCCGCGGUAAUACGUAGGUGGCAAGCGUUGUCCGGAUUUAUUGGGCGUAAAGCGAGCGCAGGCGGUUUCUUAAGUCUGAUGUGAAAGCCCCCGGCUCAACCGGGGAGGGUCAUUGGAAACUGGGAGACUUGAGUGCAGAAGAGGAGAGUGGAAUUCCAUGUGUAGCGGUGAAAUGCGUAGAUAUAUGGAGGAACACCAGUGGCGAAGGCGGCUCUCUGGUCUGUAACUGACGCUGAGGCUCGAAAGCGUGGGGAGCGAACAGGAUUAGAUACCCUGGUAGUCCACGCCGUAAACGAUGAGUGCUAAGUGUUGGAGGGUUUCCGCCCUUCAGUGCUGCAG
Molecule: ribosomal RNA, 726 nt
Filed under: uncultured bacterium
Lineage: Bacteria
Description: bacterial SSU rRNA
Rfam family: Bacterial small subunit ribosomal RNA
Source: RNAcentral